Non-coding RNA from Heterocephalus glaber (naked mole-rat), 1148 nucleotides. The record is from RefSeq and is a predicted model, not a curated record. NCBI's taxonomy places the organism in Eukaryota, Metazoa, Chordata, Mammalia, Rodentia, Bathyergidae.
GUCUGUUUUGCUUUCCAACUUGUCCAGUGUGCUCCUUCCCAGGUAUUCUUCACUGCAGCCAGCUCCUCCGAGCAUUUGGUGUGAGAGGGGCUCAAGCUAUGGGAAUCUUGAGAUCUCUGGUGCCACCAGGUGAGACUUCAGCUCAGAGAAGGAAUCAGCCCUCCUGAAGCCCAGAAGCUCCUCUUUGCCAGCACAAUGGAACUUGUUGGGAUUCAGAAUCAGUCUGAAACAACAGCAUGCUACAGGACCAUGUUUUAUCUCUGUGGAAGCUAUCACAUGAAAAUGAAUUUAAACACACAUAAGGUGACUUCUUUCACUGGUCUUCCAAGUUGAACAGCCUCAGUGUUAAUCUGAACAGUUUGGAAUACCUUGACUCUAGCUGAAUGAAGAUGCUUGCCAAAGCCACAGUUGUUUCCACAGUAUUACAAUAUUGCUUGGGCUGAAAUUGGGAGGUGAUAAAAAUAAUAUUAUUGGUAAUAUUGUUUUAGAGCAUAUAUUCAUUAAUGAGAUCCCAAAGUAAUAUAUAAGCACAAAUGUUUUAUCUGUUUAUAUCCUUAGGCCAGCUUAUUCAUGUAGCCUAUCAUAUAAUUCACUAUUUUCUCUGAGAUAUUUGGUAUUUAUUAGCAAUUCCUGAGUGAAAAAGAAACAAGAAAAUCUAAGGCUUAUGAUGGUAGGGCCAGCCAUUCAUGUUUUUUGAAUAGAUACAUUUCUAGAAAGAAGUACAUUUCUUUGAGUGUAUUUACUAAAAAUAAACUAGAACAUAUGUAUUAUAUUUGUGAAACAUCCUCCUUCUUCUUUCCUUGUAAGCAACCCACAUUGCCAGGAUAUGAAAACAUGCAUUUAAAAAUAAUUUGUAAUCAUUGACAGUUUUAUAGUAGAGCAUGUAUCAGAGUGACCAGUGGCCAUCCUCUGUAAUGACUGGCUAGUUGUUUAGGCAAAAACAAAUAUACACACACCCAUACACAUGUUCUCCAGAACAUAAACCAGGCUCAUGGCCAACUGCAGCCACUGGCACUAAGCUUAUCAAACAGAUCUUGGGAAGAACAUUUCUUCAUAUAGAUAGACUUACAGGUAAUCAUGCACAGUUUUCAUGGAAAUAUUUCUAAUUCUCAGUGCAGACAAGAACACAUACAUAAAUAAAAAUUAGA